This is a non-coding RNA of Lolium perenne, 532 nucleotides long. Lineage: Eukaryota; Viridiplantae; Streptophyta; Magnoliopsida; Poales; Poaceae. The record is from RefSeq and is a predicted model, not a curated record.
UAGGUGCGAUGCUCGAUUUCUGACGAAACCCUAGUUCUGUUGACCGCGCCGUCUACCCCUUUGACUGCGUCCCAUCGGGGUUCCCCCGGUGGGCGUAUGCCUGCGUUUGAGCUUGGUUAGGUCAUAGGUACAUGUGGAAACAAGUACCAUCCCCUAUGAUCCCAAGGUUCUCUCCGGUUCACCUCCGAGGGAGUUCCCCCCUAUACACGCAGAAUCUGCCUAAGUGUAGGAACCCCAUGUCCGAGAAGCCGGGCACACCCGGAGGGGGUAGCAUUGGAUAUAGAACCAUCUCAAAUCACUUUUGUGCAUGCCAUGUGGACACACACAACUUUUGGGGCCAUUCCCUAGGUCCGAUGCUCGAUUUCUGACGAAACCCUAGUUCUGUUGACCGCGCCGUCUACCCCUUUGACUGCGUCCCAUCGGGGUUCCCCCGGUGGGCGUAUGCCUGCGUUUGAGCUUGGUUAGGUCAUAGGUACAUGUGGAAACAAGUACCAUCCCCUAUGAUCCCAAGGUUCUCUCCGAUUCACCUCCG